This 2904-nucleotide ribosomal RNA is filed under the name Salmonella enterica. RNAcentral describes it as "23S ribosomal RNA". It matches the Rfam family "Bacterial large subunit ribosomal RNA". Lineage: Bacteria; Pseudomonadati; Pseudomonadota; Gammaproteobacteria; Enterobacterales; Enterobacteriaceae. The record is from RNAcentral.
GGUUAAGCGACUAAGCGUACACGGUGGAUGCCCUGGCAGUCAGAGGCGAUGAAGGGCGUGCUAAUCUGCGAUAAGCGCCGGUAAGGUGAUAUGAACCGUUAUAACCGGCGAUACCCGAAUGGGGAAACCCAGUGUGACUCGUCACACUAUCAUUAACUGAAUCCAUAGGUUAAUGAGGCGAACCGGGGGAACUGAAACAUCUAAGUACCCCGAGGAAAAGAAAUCAACCGAGAUUCCCCCAGUAGCGGCGAGCGAACGGGGAGGAGCCCAGAGCCUGAAUCAGCAUGUGUGUUAGUGGAAGCGUCUGGAAAGGCGCGCGAUACAGGGUGACAGCCCCGUACACAAAAGCGCAUGUGCUGUGAGCUCGAUGAGUAGGGCGGGACACGUGGUAUCCUGUCUGAAUAUGGGGGGACCAUCCUCCAAGGCUAAAUACUCCUGACUGACCGAUAGUGAACCAGUACCGUGAGGGAAAGGCGAAAAGAACCCCGGCGAGGGGAGUGAAAAAGAACCUGAAACCGUGUACGUACAAGCAGUGGGAGCACCCUUUGGGUGUGACUGCGUACCUUUUGUAUAAUGGGUCAGCGACUUAUAUUCUGUAGCAAGGUUAACCGAAUAGGGGAGCCGGAGGGAAACCGAGUCUUAACCGGGCGUUAAGUUGCAGGGUAUAGACCCGAAACCCGGUGAUCUAGCCAUGGGCAGGUUGAAGGUUGGGUAACACUAACUGGAGGACCGAACCGACUAAUGUUGAAAAAUUAGCGGAUGACCUGUGGCUGGGGGUGAAAGGCCAAUCAAACCGGGAGAUAGCUGGUUCUCCCCGAAAGCUAUUUAGGUAGCGCCUCGUGAAUUCAUCUCCGGGGGUAGAGCACUGUUUCGGCUAGGGGGCCAUCCCGGCUUACCAACCCGAUGCAAACUGCGAAUACCGGAGAAUGUUAUCACGGGAGACACACGGCGGGUGCUAACGUCCGUCGUGAAGAGGGAAACAACCCAGACCGCCAGCUAAGGUCCCAAAGUCAUGGUUAAGUGGGAAACGAUGUGGGAAGGCCCAGACAGCCAGGAUGUUGGCUUAGAAGCAGCCAUCAUUUAAAGAAAGCGUAAUAGCUCACUGGUCGAGUCGGCCUGCGCGGAAGAUGUAACGGGGCUAAACCAUGCACCGAAGCUGCGGCAGCGACACUGUGUGUUGUUGGGUAGGGGAGCGUUCUGUAAGCCUGCGAAGGUGGCCUGUGAGGGUUGCUGGAGGUAUCAGAAGUGCGAAUGCUGACAUAAGUAACGAUAAAGCGGGUGAAAAGCCCGCUCGCCGGAAGACCAAGGGUUCCUGUCCAACGUUAAUCGGGGCAGGGUGAGUCGACCCCUAAGGCGAGGCCGAAAGGCGUAGUCGAUGGGAAACGGGUUAAUAUUCCCGUACUUGGUGUUACUGCGAAGGGGGGACGGAGAAGGCUAUGUUGGCCGGGCGACGGUUGUCCCGGUUUAAGCGUGUAGGUGUGUGUUCCAGGUAAAUCCGGUUCACUUUAACACUGAGGCGUGACGACGAGGCACUACGGUGCUGAAGCAACAAAUGCCCUGCUUCCAGGAAAAGCCUCUAAGCAUCAGGUAACAUCAAAUCGUACCCCAAACCGACACAGGUGGUCAGGUAGAGAAUACCAAGGCGCUUGAGAGAACUCGGGUGAAGGAACUAGGCAAAAUGGUGCCGUAACUUCGGGAGAAGGCACGCUGACACGUAGGUGAAGUGAUUUACUCAUGGAGCUGAAGUCAGUCGAAGAUACCAGCUGGCUGCAACUGUUUAUUAAAAACACAGCACUGUGCAAACACGAAAGUGGACGUAUACGGUGUGACGCCUGCCCGGUGCCGGAAGGUUAAUUGAUGGGGUCAGCGCAAGCGAAGCUCCUGAUCGAAGCCCCGGUAAACGGCGGCCGUAACUAUAACGGUCCUAAGGUAGCGAAAUUCCUUGUCGGGUAAGUUCCGACCUGCACGAAUGGCGUAAUGAUGGCCAGGCUGUCUCCACCCGAGACUCAGUGAAAUUGAACUCGCUGUGAAGAUGCAGUGUACCCGCGGCAAGACGGAAAGACCCCGUGAACCUUUACUAUAGCUUGACACUGAACAUUGAGCCUUGAUGUGUAGGAUAGGUGGGAGGCUUUGAAGUGUGGACGCCAGUCUGCAUGGAGCCGACCUUGAAAUACCACCCUUUAAUGUUUGAUGUUCUAACGUGGACCCGUUACCCGGGUUGCGGACAGUGUCUGGUGGGUAGUUUGACUGGGGCGGUCUCCUCCUAAAGAGUAACGGAGGAGCACGAAGGUUGGCUAAUCCUGGUCGGACAUCAGGAGGUUAGUGCAAUGGCAUAAGCCAGCUUGACUGCGAGCGUGACGGCGCGAGCAGGUGCGAAAGCAGGUCAUAGUGAUCCGGUGGUUCUGAAUGGAAGGGCCAUCGCUCAACGGAUAAAAGGUACUCCGGGGAUAACAGGCUGAUACCGCCCAAGAGUUCAUAUCGACGGCGGUGUUUGGCACCUCGAUGUCGGCUCAUCACAUCCUGGGGCUGAAGUAGGUCCCAAGGGUAUGGCUGUUCGCCAUUUAAAGUGGUACGCGAGCUGGGUUUAGAACGUCGUGAGACAGUUCGGUCCCUAUCUGCCGUGGGCGCUGGAGAACUGAGGGGGGCUGCUCCUAGUACGAGAGGACCGGAGUGGACGCAUCACUGGUGUUCGGGUUGUCAUGCCAAUGGCACUGCCCGGUAGCUAAAUGCGGAAGAGAUAAGUGCUGAAAGCAUCUAAGCACGAAACUUGCCCCGAGAUGAGUUCUCCCUGAGACUUUAGGUCUCCUGAAGGAACGUUGAAGACGACGACGUUGAUAGGCCGGGUGUGUAAGCGCAGCGAUGCGUUGAGCUAACCGGUACUAAUGAACCGUGAGGCUUAACCUU